Molecule: long non-coding RNA, 1228 nt
Organism: Felis catus (domestic cat)
Lineage: Eukaryota; Metazoa; Chordata; Mammalia; Carnivora; Felidae
Exons: 2
Source: RefSeq, a predicted model, not a curated record
UUCAAUCAUGCUAUUUGUUUUAAGGGGUUUAAAUUUUUUGGGUGAAUAAUGAAACGUCUCACUUAGAGCUAACAAUAUUAACACGCUUCAUCAGAUUUUUUUACUGAAGUAGUGAGAUAAUUACAGAAAUUAUGACAUUUAAUUUCCUAGAAAUAAUUUAACCUUAUAAUUUGUGUGUUUUUUUCAUUUCAGAAUAUCACUUCCAUAAAUACACACACAUACCCACACACACACUAAAUAAUUUUUUUCCCUCCAGGACUCCCUGUCCUCUCAAGAGUUAAUUUUCUGUACCUUAUUUUAAAAAUGGUCAAAACAGAGCUCCUGGCUUUGUCCUGCCAGCUCCUGAGUUGGAGAAGACAUUUGUCAGCUUGCACUUGCUCUUGUGUCAGUCGAGGGUGAAGUCCAGCCCAGGGCUCCACGUGGAUCCUCAUGUGACCCAGGUGCCUCUUUUUAGGCUGGUUUUUGGAAAGAAGUUACAAGUGUUACUCAACCUAUGUGCACAUUUUAUGGAGUUCUUUCUAAAAGAUAAAGUUAUAAAUGUGACUUUGCCCGUCCUAAGGCAAGUUUACCGGAUGACUUCUAGGACCCGUGAAUGCGGAGAAGGGUGGUUCCAGAAAGAUGGGCUGGCUGCAAGCGAUGGCUGAAGGAGGAUAAAGGAUGACAGUGUAAGUAUCGGCCAAGAUACUUGAUGUGUUGGACGAAGACCCAGACAAACACAUUCUGCCAAGAUGUUCUCCAUUCCAGCUGGUCCUCAGAGGGCUUCAGGUUUAUGCUGCACUGAGGAGUAAAGGUUAAUUUAUCUGGCGCUUCCCCCUGGAAGGCCUCCCAGGGUGAGGCUGGCUUCCUGCAGGGUGGGGCUGCUUGGCAAGCAUCCUGAGAAAGUACUGAGGUGGAGGGGCAUGAUGGGAGGCCAAGGCUCCAUACAUCAGACACCUGGAACUGCAAGAUUUGCACCUGAGCUCCUGUUCACACCAGGGAGGGUCUGGUCACACUGCAAACAGGAAUGCUGAGAAGGCCUGACGGCAGAAGUCCAAGGCUUGGACCACAGGCCCUCGUCAUAUCAGAGCUGAUGCCUACCUUCCUGCGUGCAGUUUAUUCGCCCAGAGUUUAGAUGGUGGUCUCGCCAGAUCACUGUGCACUGUCUCAGACAGCAAUUGGCCAAGAAGGGACCUCACACCUCCUCCUCUUCCUGCUUCUGUAAGUUUCUCUGAAUAAAUGCUAUUCUGGG